Molecule: ribosomal RNA, 255 nt
Filed under: uncultured bacterium
Lineage: Bacteria
Description: partial 16S ribosomal RNA
Rfam family: Bacterial small subunit ribosomal RNA
Source: RNAcentral
UACGGGGGGGUGCGAGCGUUGUCCGGAAUCACUGGGCGUAAAGGGCGCGUAGGUGGUUUGAUAAGGGUGUGGUGAAAGCCCGGGGCUCAACCCCGGGUCUGCCGUGCCGACUGUCAAACUCGAGGGCUGUAGAGGCAGACGGAAUUCCGGGUGUAGCGGUGGAAUGCGCAGAUAUCAGGAGGAACACCGGUGGCGAAGGCGGGUCUCUGGGCAGUGAACUGACGCUGAGGAGCGAAAGCGUGGGGAGCGAACAGG